GAUGAACGCUGGCGGCGUGCCUAAUACAUGCAAGUAGAACGCUGAAGGAGGAGCUUGCUCUUCUGGAUGAGUUGCGAACGGGUGAGUAACGCGUAGGUAACCUGCCUGGUAGCGGGGGAUAACUAUUGGAAACGAUAGCUAAUACCGCAUGACAACAGUUAUUGCAUGAUAACUGUUUAAAAGGGGCAACUGCUCCACUACCAGAUGGACCUGCGUUUAUUAGCUAGUUGGUGAGGUAACGGCUCACCAAGGCGACGAUACAUAGCCGACCUGAGAGGGUGAUCGGCCACACUGGGACUGAGACACGGCCCAGACUCCUACGGGAGGCAGCAGUAGGGAAUCUUCGGCAAUGGACGGAAGUCUGACCGAGCAACGCCGCGUGAGUGAAGAAGGGUUUCGGAUCGUAAAGCUCUGUUGUAAGAGAAGAACGAGUGUGAGAGUGGAAAGUUCACACUGUGACGGUAUCUUACCAGAAAGGGACGGCUAACUACGUG
RNAcentral lists this ribosomal RNA (494 nucleotides) under uncultured bacterium. RNAcentral describes it as "partial 16S ribosomal RNA". It matches the Rfam family "Bacterial small subunit ribosomal RNA", at positions 28 to 507 of the family's 1533-position model. The record is from RNAcentral.